RNA transcript from Quercus robur (English oak), 1322 nucleotides. RefSeq lists it as uncharacterized. The record is from RefSeq and is a predicted model, not a curated record. The transcript is spliced from 10 exons. NCBI's taxonomy places the organism in Eukaryota, Viridiplantae, Streptophyta, Magnoliopsida, Fagales, Fagaceae.
GUUCGGUCCUUUUUUUUUUUUUUUUUUUUUUAUAAAUUCGGUCCAAUUUUUAAAAGAAUUGUUGAAGGUUGAAAGUUGAAACACAUCAUUCUAGCUCUCUGCCUCUCAGAAGAAGCAAAAGCAAUGGCGGCAAACUCUGAGAGUGAGAAACAAACGUUUCGCUUAUUCUCAACCUCCACCAGUUUGGGUCUAGGGUUUCUUGAUUCUUCAGAAAACCCUCUCCCUCCUACACCUCCACCUCCAUACCUCGAAGUAAUUUCCACUCAGAUUUCUUCGUCUGUGAAAUACACUGUGGAGCCAGUGAACUUGGGGGAACUUACUUUGCUCAAGGGCCGCGUUAAUACGCAAGAGGUUUUUGGUUUAUCAAACUCUGAUUUAGUCCCAGGGAAAUAUGAAGGGGGACUGAAGUUAUGGGAAGGUUCACUGGAUCUUGUUAAAGCGCUUCACAUGGAGAUUAAAAAUGGCAAUUUGUCACUCAGGGGAAAGCGAGUUUUAGAGCUUGGAUGUGGUCAUGGACUUCCUGGGAUCUUUGCAUGCCUUGAGGGUGCAGCUGCUGUGCAUUUCCAGGACUUCAAUGCUGAGGUCCUACGUUGUCUAACCAUUCCCAAUGUAAAUGCCAAUCUUUCAGAAAAUAUUCAACCCUUGGAAACAAAUGAGAUGAAUGCUGGUGGUGAAGUUCGUUUCUUUGCUGGUGACUGGAGUGAAAUCCAUAAACUUCUUCCACGUGUACAAGGCAAUGAGAAGAAUCUAAACUGUAGCUCAGGGCACAGUCAAGUUGCUAGUUAUGAUAUUAUUUUAAUGGCAGAGACGGUUUACUCAAUCUCCACUCUCCAAAGCCUUUAUGAACUUAUAAAGAUGUGCACAAGCAGUCCUCAUGGAGUUGUUUACAUGGCAGCAAAGAAGCAUUAUUUUGGGGUAGGUGGGGGAACCCGGCGGUUCCUAUCUUUAGUAGAGAAAGAUGGCCAAGAGCAUGAAAACUAGGACAUUCUUCUGGUUACAUAAUCUUUAUGUUGGUUACGUCCUCUGGCCAAUAGGUGUUAUGGCUUCUAACCUGGUUGCUGAAGUUGCAGAUGGUUCGUCCAAUGUCCGAGAGGUAUGGAAGCUUUCAUUUAGGUAGAUCUGGAUUUUCAGAUUUGUGGACUGAAAAUUAUUAUCACAUGUUACAUCUUUUUCAAUGUUCCUUUAUUUCUUUCCUGAGCCAUGUAUGGGCUCAAGCCCAAAAAAAUGUAUGGACUCACAGCCCACCAUACAAGGGACCAAUUUCAACUGAUAUUACUUUGUGACAAAAUGAAUGUUUAGGUUAUUGUCAAUUCCCCACCCCA